AGCUUCUUGAACAAGUUCACCUUCGGUAUUACUUUGCUUAAUUUCCUCUGCAUCAUUACUCUUUGUUAUAUCAUCAAUGUUGCUAUCAGCGUCCAUUGGAUCAGCUUUUGGUUCUGCAGAUGACAGUUCCUUCUCCGACUCAACUAUUGCCUCCUCGACCACGGCAUUCGAAGCUUCUUGAACAAGUUCACCUUCUGUAUUACUUUGCUUAAUUUCCUCUGCAUCAUUACUCUUUGUUUUAUCAUCAAUGUUGCUAUCAGCAUCCAUUGGAUCGGCUUUUGGUUCUGCAGAAGACACUUCCUUUUCCGACUCAACUAUUGCCUCCUCGACCACAGCAUUCGAAGCUUCUUGAACAAGUUCACCUUCUGUAUUACUAGGCUUAAUUUCAUCUGCAUCAUUACUUUUUGUUUUAUCAUAGAUGUUGCUAUCUGCAUCCACCGGAUCAGCAUCCAGUUCUUCUGCAGAAGGAUUUUCCUUUUCCGAUUCAACUAUUGUCUCCUCAGACACAGCAUUCAAAUCUUCUUGAACAAGUUCACCUUCUGCAUUACUUUGCUUAAUUUCCUCCACAUCAUCACUCCUUGUUUUAUCAUUGACAUUGUCAUCAGUGUCCAUUGGAUCGGCUUCCAGUUCUUCCGCAGAAGACUUUUCCUUUGCCGAUUCAGCUAUUGCUUCUUCAACCACAGCAUUUGAAGCUACAAUAACAUGUUCACCUUCUGCAUUACUUUGCUUAAUUUCCUCGGCAUCAUCACUCCUUGUUUUAUUAUUGACAUUUUCAUCAGUGUCCAUUGGAUCAGCUUUAGGUUCUUCAGCAGAAGACUUUUCCUUUGCCGAUUCAACUAUCUCCUCCUCGACCACAGCCUUCAAAGGUUCUUGAACAAGUUCACCUUCUGCUUUACUUUGC
Molecule: long non-coding RNA, 901 nt
Filed under: Lathyrus oleraceus (garden pea)
Lineage: Eukaryota; Viridiplantae; Streptophyta; Magnoliopsida; Fabales; Fabaceae
Description: Pisum sativum (pea) long non-coding RNA (PSAT_LNC032428)
Source: RNAcentral